RNAcentral lists this ribosomal RNA (433 nucleotides) under uncultured bacterium. Its description in RNAcentral is "partial 16S ribosomal RNA". It matches the Rfam family "Bacterial small subunit ribosomal RNA", at positions 29 to 507 of the family's 1533-position model. The record is from RNAcentral.
AACGAACGCUGGCGGCAUGCCUAACACAUGCAAGUCGAACGAGACCUUCGGGUCUAGUGGCGCACGGGUGCGUAACGCGUGGGAACCUGCCCUUAGGUUCGGAAUAACUCAGAGAAAUUUGAGCUAAUACCGGAUAAUGUCUUCGGACCAAAGAUUUAUCGCCUUUGGAUGGGCCCGCGUAGGAUUAGCUUGUUGGUGGGGUAAUGGCCUACCAAGGCGACGAUCCUUAGCUGGUCUGAGAGGAUGAUCAGUCACACUGGGACUGAGACACGGCCCAGACUCCUACGGGAGGCAGCAGUGGGGAAUAUUGGACAAUGGGCGAAAGCCUGAUCCAGCAAUGCCGCGUGAGUGAUGAAGGCCUUAGGGUUGUAAAGCUCUUUUACCAGGGAUGAUAUUGACAGUACCUGGAGAAUAAGCUCCGGCUAACUCCGUG